This is an RNA transcript of Panicum virgatum (switchgrass), 1647 nucleotides long. It is a transcript of the gene named peptide chain release factor PrfB3, chloroplastic-like, with no coding region annotated. The record is from RefSeq and is a predicted model, not a curated record. NCBI's taxonomy places the organism in Eukaryota, Viridiplantae, Streptophyta, Magnoliopsida, Poales, Poaceae. The transcript is spliced from 6 exons.
ACAGCUCGCUGCAGCGCACGGCUCUACUGCAUGCAGCCGUGCGUGCCAACUCGGCGCGUGCCGAUUGGGCGGCGGAUGAGGCGCGUGUGAGCCAGACGGCGCCAGGCUGCGCCUCCCUCCGCCGCACAACCCCUCACCGGCAUCUUCCUCCACUCUUAGCCUAGCCACCCUCACACCCGCCACCGUCUCCUGGCAUCCGCGUCCGGCAGGCCACUACCGUGCUCCCGCGGUCCCGCCCCGCCGCUGCAAUGGCUGCGGCGGCCUCGCCGGCAGCGUGCGCUCGGGCAUCCGGACCCCGCGCGGGGGCCCGCCUCGCCGUCCGCACCGCAGCCCUCCCGGCGGACGGGCGCGGCGACGGCACCGCCUCUUACAAGGAGCUCGGUCUGUACUUCUUGAAAAAGAGGAUUGAAGACGCAGUUGUCCGGGUUGAAACCACCGCAUCCAGUGCUCUGGAGUUGGAGGAAGCACGGAGAAUUAAGCAGGAAGAAGUACUGCGGAAGCGUAACUUGUGGGAUAAUCCAGCUAAGUCACAUGAGACGCUCUCUGCUCUGGCAGAUGCCAUCAGGGUGGUCGACCAUCUGAAAGAUCUUCGCUUCAAGGCUGAAGAGGCAAAGUUGAUAAGUCAACUAUCAGAGAUGGAUGCCAUAAAUGGUGAGCUAUUUAAGCAAGCAUACAAAUCUUCAGUAGAUGCUAGCGAGUAUCUAGAUCGCUACCAGAUGUACAAGCUUCUUAAUGGUCCAUACGACAAGGAAGGAGCUUGUAUUAUUGUUACUGCAGUAUCAGAUGGUGUUGCUUCUGAGCUAUGGGCAGCGAAGGUCUUUGGCAUGUAUACAAGUUGGGCACGGAAGCAAGGUUGCAAGGUUGGAUUGAUUGAGAAGAUUUCUUCAAUGAGUGGCCAUGUCCGGACUUUAGCGAUGGAGAUUGAAUCAGAGUACAUGUUUGGCAUCCUUUCUGGAGAAAAAGGAAUGCAUCGAAUGAUAUACUCGUCCCUUGAAAAUUCUGAUAAAUAUCAGCUUGCAGGCCUUAUCAGCUAGAGUAGACGUAAUUCCCCUCUUCUUGGAUAGGCCAAUUAAUCUUCACUUGGAUGACAAUGAUAUAGAGAUCGCUCCCUCACCUUCUUCUGAAUGUAAGAAGCGAGAUAGCAGAAACUGUGCUGCUGUCAGUGUUCAACACAAACCAAGUGGAGUCACUGCUGAAAGUUCAGGUGAGAGAAGCUAUUUUGCAAACAAGCUAAAAGCUACGAGUAGGUUGAAAGCAAAGCUCCUUUUAUUAGCAAGAGAAUUGGGAGUAUCAGACAUGAAGAUGAUGAACAAACAAGCUAUAAAGGAUAUAUGCAGCCGUGAAACACGAAGGUACACAUUUGGGCCUCAGAAAUUGGUCCAUGAUCUCAACACAGGCAACCAGUUAUCAGAUUUGAACUUGGUUCUGGAAGGUGAAAUAGAGCAAUUCAUUAGAGGUCGAAUUAUCGCUAGACAAUGAUGAUACAACUCACCAAUUGAUUGAUUGUCCCCCCUCAUUGCGAUCUUGUACAUUUAUUUCUGUCCUUAUACAAACCACACCACAUCAAAGGAUGACCUCUGUAAAAUAUCACAUUUCAAGCCAAAAGGCAUGACACCUGGUAUACAAAACAUUACGUUAUUUGCACCA